RNAcentral lists this ribosomal RNA (1956 nucleotides) under human gut metagenome. RNAcentral describes it as "bacterial LSU rRNA". It matches the Rfam family "Bacterial large subunit ribosomal RNA", at positions 3 to 1980 of the family's 2925-position model. The record is from RNAcentral.
UCAAGCUACAAAGGGCGCAUGGUGAAUGCCUUGGCAUCAGGAGCCGAUGAAGGACGUGAUAAGCUGCGAUAAGCUUCGGGUAGGCGCACAUAGCCUGAGAUCCGAAGAUCUCCGAAUGAGGAAACUCACAUGGGAAACCCCAUGUAUCAUUAAGUGAAUACAUAGCUUAAUGAAGGUAACCCAGGGAACUGAAACAUCUAAGUACCUGGAGGAAGAGAAAGAAAAAUCGAUUUUCUUAGUAGCGGCGAGCGAAAGGGAAAGAGCCCAAACCGGAAACUUGUUUCCGGGGUUGUGGACAGAAUAUAACGAUUGGUAGGACGUAAUCGAAGAGAACUGGAAAGUUCCACCGUAGAAGGUAAUAGUCCUGUAGAUGAAACGGGAAAUCAAUCAGUUCUGAUCCAGAGUACCACGAGACACGUGAAACCUUGUGGGAAGCAGGGAGGACCACCUCCCAAGGCUAAAUACUACCUGAUGACCGAUAGUGAAGCAGUACCGUGAGGGAAAGGUGAAAAGAACCCCGGGAGGGGAGUGAAAUAGAACCUGAAACCGUGUGCCUACAACCGCUCAGAGCCCCUUAUGAGGGUGAUGAGGUGCUUUUUGUAGAACGAGCCAACGAGUUACGGUAUGUAGCAAGGUUAAGUACUUAAGGUACGGAGCCGAAGGGAAACCGAGUCUGAAUAGGGCGACUAGUUGCAUGCCGUAGACCCGAAACCGGGUGACCUAUCCAUGGCCAGGUUGAAGCGAGGGUAAAACCUCGUGGAGGACCGAACCACGUUGCUGUUGAAAAAGCAUGGGAUGAGCUGUGGAUAGCGGAGAAAUUCCAAUCGAACUCGGAGAUAGCUGGUUCUCCCCGAAAUAGCUUUAGGGCUAGCGUCGGAUAUGUGUAGUGGAGGUAGAGCACUGAAUGGGCUAGGGGGCAUAGCGCUUACCGAACCUUAUCAAACUCCGAAUGCCACAUACUUUGAGCUCGGCAGUCAGACUACGAAUGAUAAGAUCCGUGGUCAAAAGGGAAACAGCCCAGAUCGUCAGCUAAGGUCCCAAAGUGUAAGUUAAGUGGGAAAGGAUGUGAGAUUUCUAAGACAACUAGGAUGUUGGCUUAGAAGCAGCCAUUCAUUAAAAGAGUGCGUAAUAGCUCACUAGUCGAGAGAUCUUGCGCCGAAAAUGUAACGGGGCUAAACUUACCACCGAAGCUACGGGCUUGAACUUAGUUCAAGCGGUAGGAGAGCGUCGUAACCGGGCUGAAGUCGUACCGUAAGGAGCGGUGGACUGGUUACGAGUGAGAAUGUUGGCAUCAGUAGCGAGAUGUGGGUGAGAAUCCCACAGGCCGAAAACCUAAGGUUUCCUCAGGAAGGUUCGUCCGCUGAGGGUUAGUCGGGACCUAAGCCGAGGCCGAAAGGCGUAGGUGAUGGACAACUGGUUGAUAUUCCAGUACCACUACCAUCGUUAUUAUCGAUGGCGUGACGCAGGAGGAUAGUGUGUGCUAGCUAUUGGAUGCUAGUCUAAGCGUUUAGGCAGUGAGAGUAGGCAAAUCCGCUCUCAUAAUGCUGAGGCGUGAUGGGGAAGGUUCUACGGAACCGAAGUACAUGAUUCCACGCUGCCAAGAAAAGCGUCUAGAGAGAGAAGUAGUGCCCGUACCGCAAACCGACACAGGUAGGUGAGGAGAGAAUCCUAAGGCCGGCGGAAGAAUUACAGUUAAGGAACUCGGCAAAUUGACCCCGUAAGUUCGCGAGAAGGGGUGCCUACGAGAGUAGGCCGCAGAGAAUAGGCCCAAGCAACUGUUUAGCAAAAACACAGGUCUCUGCUAAAGCGUAAGCUGAUGUAUAGGGGCUGACGCCUGCCCGGUGCUGGAAGGUUAAGGGGAACACUUAGCGCAAGCGAAGGUGUGAACUUAAGCCCCAGUAAACGGCGGCCGUAACUAUAACGGUCCUAAGGUAGCGAAAUUCCUUGUCAGGUAAG